This 911-nucleotide long non-coding RNA is filed under the name Volvox carteri. RNAcentral describes it as "long non-coding RNA (VCAR_LNC000334)". The record is from RNAcentral. Lineage: Eukaryota; Viridiplantae; Chlorophyta; Chlorophyceae; Chlamydomonadales; Volvocaceae.
UGCCGCGGGGCCCGUCUGCCUCGCAGUUGCAGCUACGGCCAUCGGUAACGGGAUCGCUGGCGUCCAGGCUGGGAGCCGUAACCAUGGAGAUUCAGCAGUACGGCAGUACGCAAGUCAUGCCCAUGGAUGCCGUACGGAAUUGCUUUUCGAAGCUUCUAGUGGUGCGUUUUCGUUAUUGCUGUGUCAUCCUGUCUUGUCUUAUCUUUCUUGGGGUGUUACACUGUGGGCGGUUCGUCCCGAGAAAGGGCGAGCACCGGGGGACCUGACCGGGCCGAAACACAGCGCAGGGGCGGGCGCGCGGCUCUACGUCCGUCUGUUCCUCCGCGCGCGCCUUAGACCCUCACUCACGCCAACCGGGGUGCUUUCCCAGCCCCUGGCUAGGCAACACAGCGGUGCAGAAGACUGCGAGCCGAACUAAGCGAGAGCCGCACGAAAGGCGCCACAUCACCUCUGGAAACCCUAAACAGGCUAUCUGCCCCCACUUCGCCUGGCCAGUCUACUCGCGCGCUCUCUCCCCUCUAGACCACCAAAACUAUGGCUCUGCAAUGAUUUUCAAGGGCUGCCUCUUCCCCUAGUGUGCACACACAUUACCGUCUGCAACGAAUGCUCCAUAAAAGCAGCUCCAAGCCGCGUCGCCAGUAUGUUACUUCAUAGCCUUGCCAGCUGGAGCAAACCUGUGUUCCCUACGGCACCCAACAGUCCAGUUGAACAUCUACGGCCGACUUUGAAUGGCGCCAGGCUAGAGGAGCAGAUUUCUUCGUUAUGAUUUUGGAGUGAGCCCCCUUGCAUCACAGACAUGAUUCUGCAGAUUAUCUUUCAUACGCAAUCCCGUCUCGUCCGAUCAGGGCAAUGGGCUCCUGCAGAGACUAAACGCACAAUCGAGAUUUUAUCGCACUUUUGUGAAAAGGCGG